RNAcentral lists this long non-coding RNA (484 nucleotides) under Gossypium barbadense (sea-island cotton). RNAcentral describes it as "long non-coding RNA (GBAR_LNC021989)". Lineage: Eukaryota; Viridiplantae; Streptophyta; Magnoliopsida; Malvales; Malvaceae. The record is from RNAcentral.
ACAUAGGCAUCAUUGUUGGUGCAGCUCCCUGAGGAAGCUAGAUAGCAUGAAAAAGAGCUGAGGCAGAUCACGAAGUCAAAGAAUGAAGGUACAAGAGUUUUACGAGCCAUUUUAUGUUGAUUUCUUUAAUUAGAUGGAUCAAAAUAUUUAAAAUGGUCCUUCUCUAGGUCCUAACUUAUAGGUGUUGGAUUGUUUGACGACCUUAAAUAUUUGUUUUCUUACAAGGUGGUGGUAUUUCUUGUGGGUUUGAGAAGCUAGCCUUACUCACAAAUACAUUGUUUUAACAGGCCGCGGAAUUACGGGAUGGACAAACCAUGCCUUCCUGAGCCCAAAGCAGUCUGUGUGUCAUGGAGCUAUUCCACAGCUUUAAAAGCCCCAUCCUUCAAAUCCUGAACAAAAGAAAGUCACAGAAUUAGUUUCUGCAUCAACACACUCCUUGAAACACUUUACCUCAAGUUCCAAACCAAUGCCUGCAAUCUCCUCC